GGAGCCGAUGAAGGACGGGACUAACACCGAUAUGCUUUGGGGAGCUGUACGUAAGCUAUGAUCCAGAGAUUUCCGAAUGGGGGAACCCAACAUCUUUAAUAGGAUGUUACGAUUGUGUGAAUACAUAGCACAUUCGAGGUAGACGCAGAGAACUGAAACAUCUAAGUACCUGCAGGAAGAGAAAGAAAAUUCGAUUCCCUGAGUAGCGGCGAGCGAAACGGGAAAAGCCCAAACCAGCAAGCUUGCUUGUUGGGGUUGUAGGACUCCAAUAUGGUAGUUCUUUCAGAUAGUCGAAUGACUUGGAAAAGUCAGUCAAAGAGGGUAAAAACCCCGUAGACGAAAUGUGGAAGACACCUAGGAGGAUCCUGAGUACGGCGGAACACGAGAAAUUCCGUCGGAAUCCGGGAGGACCAUCUCCCAAGGCUAAAUACUCCCUAGUGACCGAUAGUGAACCAGUACCGUGAGGGAAAGGUGAAAAGCACCCCGGAAGGGGAGUGAAAUAGAACCUGAAACCGUGUGCCUACAACAAGUCAAAGCCCGUUAAUGGGUGAUGGCGUGCCUUUUGUAGAAUGAACCGGCGAGUUACGAUUGCAUGCGAGGUUAAGUUGAAGAGACGGAGCCGCAGCGAAAGCGAGUCUGAAUAGGGCGUUUGAGUAUGUAGUCGUAGACCCGAAACCAUGUGAUCUA
This 687-nucleotide ribosomal RNA is filed under the name Enterococcus faecium. Its description in RNAcentral is "partial 23S ribosomal RNA". It matches the Rfam family "Bacterial large subunit ribosomal RNA", at positions 42 to 732 of the family's 2925-position model. The record is from RNAcentral. Lineage: Bacteria; Bacillati; Bacillota; Bacilli; Lactobacillales; Enterococcaceae.